Molecule: ribosomal RNA, 253 nt
Filed under: uncultured bacterium
Lineage: Bacteria
Description: partial 16S ribosomal RNA
Rfam family: Bacterial small subunit ribosomal RNA
Source: RNAcentral
UACAGAGGGUGCGAGCGUUGUCCGGAAUCACUGGGCGUAAAGCGUGCGCAGACGGUUGCGUAAGUCAGAUGUGAAAGCCCCGGGCUCAACCUGGGAAUUGCAUUUGAGACUGCGUAGCUAGGGUGCGGAAGAGGGAAGCGGAAUUUCCGGUGUAGCGGUGAAAUGCGUAGAUAUCGGAAGGAACACCAGUGGCGAAAGCGGCUUCCUGGUCCAGCACCGACGUUCAGGCACGAAAGCGUGGGGAGCAAACAGG